Molecule: ribosomal RNA, 254 nt
Filed under: uncultured bacterium
Lineage: Bacteria
Description: partial 16S ribosomal RNA
Rfam family: Bacterial small subunit ribosomal RNA
Source: RNAcentral
CACGUAGGGGGCGAGCGUUGUCCGGAUUCAUUGGGCGUAAAGAGCUCGUAGGCGGCUCAGCAAGUCGGGUGUGAAACCUCCAGGCUCAACCUGGAGACGCCACUCGAUACUGCUGUGGCUAGAGUCCAGUAGGGGAGCGUGGAAUUCCUGGUGUAGCGGUGAAAUGCGCAGAUAUCAGGAGGAACACCAGCGGCGAAGGCGGCGCUCUGGGCUGGAACUGACGCUGAGGAGCGAAAGCGUGGGGAGCAAACAGG